Molecule: ribosomal RNA, 411 nt
Filed under: Boophis periegetes
Lineage: Eukaryota; Metazoa; Chordata; Amphibia; Anura; Mantellidae
Description: partial 16S ribosomal RNA
Rfam family: Bacterial large subunit ribosomal RNA
Source: RNAcentral
UCCCCCCUCUAAUCAGUGAAACUGAUCUCCCCGUGAAGAAGCGGGGAUAUUUAUAUAAGACGAGAAGACCCCAUGGAGCUUUAAACCCGACAGCACCCGCCUAGCCCACGCCCCUCUAUUGACCCGGCCCCUGUCUGCUCGGUUUUAGGUUGGGGUGACCACGGAGUAUAAAAUAACCUCCACGAAGAAAGGAGUAAUAAUCCUCAUCUAAGAGCCACACCUCUAAGAGCUAAUACAUUAACUUUUAAUGAUCCGAUAUUUGAUCAACGAACCAAGUUACCCUGGGGAUAACAGCGCAAUCCGCCUCAAGAGCUCCUAUCGACAGGUGGGUUUACGACCUCGAUGUUGGAUCAGGGUAUCCCAGUGGUGCAGCAGCUACCAAAGGUUCGUUUGUUCAACGAUUAAAACCCU